This 301-nucleotide ribosomal RNA is filed under the name uncultured bacterium. Its description in RNAcentral is "partial 16S ribosomal RNA". It matches the Rfam family "Bacterial small subunit ribosomal RNA", at positions 509 to 807 of the family's 1533-position model. The record is from RNAcentral.
CAGUCGCCACGGGAAUACGUAGGGUGCGAGCGUUAAUCGGAAUUACUGGACGUAAAGCGUGCGCAGGCGGUUCGUUAAGACAGAUGUGAAAUCCCUGAGCUUAACUUAGGAAUUGCAUUCGAUACUGGGAAGCUAGAGUAUGGGAGAGGAUGGUAGAAUUCCAGGUGUAGCGGUGAAAUGCGUAGAGAUCUGGAGGAAUACCGAUGGCGAAGGCAGCCAUCUGGCCUAAUACUGACGCUGAGGUACGAAAGCAUGGGGAGCAAACAGGAUUAGAUACCCCAGUAGUCCCUGUCUCUUAUAC